UAUGGUCGACCUGCAGGCGGCCGCGAAUUCACUAGUGAUUGUAUUACCGCGGCUGCUGGCAAUGAUCAAGCCUAAUCGAACUCCCGCGGCCGUCAAGGCCCGGGAUUAUGCAUCCGGGCCCAAUUCGCCCUAUAGACAGGAGUUUACGAAGAUCUUCGUCCUCCACGCGGCGUUGCGUCGUCAGGCUUGCGCCCAUUGUGAACAAUUCCCCACUGCUGCCUCCCGUAGGAGUCUGGGCCGUGUCUCAGUCCCAGUGUGUCCGUCCGCCCUCUCAGGCCGGAUACUGAUCGUCGCCUUGGUGGGCCGUUACCUCACCAACUAGCUAAUCAGACGCGGGCCCCUCUUCAAGUGCCGGGUCUUGCGAUCCCCAGCUUUGAUCUCCACCUGUUCAAAGGCGGGAUGUUAUGCGGUAUUAGCGUCCCUUUCGGGACGUUAUCCCCCGCUCGACUAUAGAACACUCAAGCUUUACUCACGCGUUGGGAGCUCAGUUAUAUGGCUACUAACCGGCCGCGACUUCACUAGU
RNAcentral lists this ribosomal RNA (523 nucleotides) under uncultured Alphaproteobacteria bacterium. RNAcentral's name for it is "partial 16S ribosomal RNA". The record is from RNAcentral. Lineage: Bacteria; Pseudomonadati; Pseudomonadota; Alphaproteobacteria.